CCAAAAUACUGACUUGUAUUUAUCAUCUACUGGCUCUAGUAUGCUUCUGCUAUGCAUCACAAAAUCUCAGAAAUCUGAAGAUUUCGUUCAUUCCCUUCUUCUGCAACUGCAAGCAGAUGAGUUUUAUCUUGAUCACUGUUGAUUGAAGUAAUCCUGUAUUCAGGUGUAGCACCAUGGUUUUCUCCUGGUGAUUGGUCGAUAAUCUUCCUUUAUCUAUUUCGUUUAUAGCUUGCACUCAGCCUUGCGAGAUCUUGAAACUAUCGAUAGGCUGGAAGACUGGUUCUAAGAUGAGGCCAUACUAAUCCUAGGGGUGGAAGAAGAGCUCACAAAACUGCUGCGGCGAGUGGAACUAAUUGAGUGUUGUAUAUACGAUGCUGAGAAAAGAAGAACAAAAGAGCAAGCAGUAAACAACUGGCUUGGUCAACUGAGAGAUGUUAUAUAUGAUGUUGAUGAAAUCCUGGAUGUGGCUAGAUGUAAAGGAAGCAAGCUACUGCCUGACGAUCCUUCAUCAUCAUCAAGCAAAUCGGUUGCAUGUAAAGGCCUCUCGGUUUCCUCUUGCUUUUGUAGCAUCAGGUCACGUCGUGAUGUUGCUGUUCGGAUUAGAAGCCUGAAUAAAAAGAUUGAGAACAUUGCAAAUGACAAGAUAUUUUCAACUUUCAAUAAUAGUACACAGCCUAUUGGAAAUGGUCAACCAUCAAAACUUAUAAGAAGUUCCAACCUUGUUGAGCCCAACCUUGUGGGGAAGGAGAUUGUACAUUCUACCAGGAAGUUAGUAGACUUAGUUCUUGCACACAAGGAAUACAAGUCUUACAAGCUCGGUAUUGUUGGAACCGGAGGAGUUGGUAAGACAACACUAGCUCAAAAAAUAUACAAUGAUCAGAAAGUAAAAGGAAGCUUCAAGAUGCACGCAUGGAUUUGUGUUUCACAAGACUACAAUCAAAUAACUCUUCUUAAAGAGGUUCUCCGGAAUAUUGGUGUGCAUCAUGAGCAAGGUGAAACCAUAACAGAGCUGCAGAGGAAGCUUGCAGAAACAAUUGAAGGGAAGAGUUUCUUUCUGGUUCUAGAUGAUGUGUGGCACUCCAAUGUAUGGACGGAUUUUUUAAGACCUGCAUUACAUGAAACAACUGCCGGAGUAAUAUUGGUAACCACACGAGAUGAUCAAAUUACAAAGAGAAUAGGUGUAUACCAUACUCACCAAGUUGAUCUCAUGUCAGUAGAGGUGGGAUGGGAGCUACUUUGGAAGAGCAUGAACAUUGAUGAAGAGAAAGAAGUGCAGAAUUUAAGAAAUACGGGGAUUGAGAUUGUUCGUAAAUGUGGUUGCCUUCCUCUUGCAAUCAAGGUUACUGCUAGUGCCUUGGCAAGUAGAGAUCUAACGGAGAAUGAGUGGAGAAAGUAUUUGAUCAAAUAUGUUGGAUCUGAGAGCAUCCUCUUGGAUGAAAUAGAAGAGGCUUUGUAUCUUAGCUAUGAUGAGUUACCACAUCGUCUGAAGCAAUGUUUCCUAUAUUGUGCUCUGUAUGCUGAAGAUUCUGUCAUUCACCGUAAUCAAGUUACCCAGUUAUGGAUUGCUGAAGGCUUCAUCGAGGAGCGGCAAGGUCAACUAAUAGAAGACAUGGCAGAAGAGUACUACUAUGAGCUAAUUCAUCGGAAUCUCCUCCAGCCAGAAAUGAUAAGUUUUGACCACGCUAAAUGUAGAAUGCAUGACCUCUUAAGACAACUUGCUUGUAAUAUAUCAAGAGAAGAAUGUUUUAUUGGAGAUGUUGAAACAUUAAGGGAUGGAAAUAUGUCAAAACUUAGACGUGUUACUGCUGUCAGUAAUAAGGAUAUGUUAGUGUUACCUAGAGUGGAUAAGGUGGAUGUUAAGGUCAGGACUUUCCUAACUGUUAAGGGUCCACGGAGAAUUGAGGAUACAUUGUUCAAAAGAUUUCUGCUUCUUCGUGUUUUGGUACUGAAUUACACACUUGUGCAAAGCAUUCCGGAUUAUAUAGGAAAAAUGAUACAUUUACGCCUACUGAAUCUAGAUUAUACUAGCACAUCUUGUCUUCCGGAAUCCAUUGGCUCCCUAAAGAACCUUCAAGUACUGAGCUUGAGAUCGUGUCAUGAUCUGCACAAUCUUCCUUCCGCAGUGACCCAGUUGAGCAGUUUAAGAUGUCUUGAUCUUUUUGACACGGAAAUAAAUCGAGUUCCAAAAGGGAUAGGGAAACUGAAAUUCCUCACUUUUGUAAGGGGUUAUCCCGUUGUUGAUGGAAUUGAUAAUGCUGACGUACAAGAUGGAUGGAAGUUGGAAGAGUUGUCUUCUUUGUCGCAGAUGAGGUAUGUUUGUCUUGUUAAAUUGAAAAGACUGGCUCAUUGCAGUACAGGUGCAGUGCUGACAGACAAAAAACAUCUAAAAGAACUAGUACUAGAGUGGACUGAACGUGGAGAGGGAUCAUAUUCAGAAGAAGAUAUUAGCAAUACUGAGAAGGUAUUUGAGCAGCUAAUACCUCCACAUAGCCUGGAAGACCUAUGUAUUUCUAGAUUCUUUGGUCGGCAGUAUCCCACCUGGUUUGGUACCACAUGUUUGUAUUCACUGAUACACCUGAGACUCCGAAAUGUACGAUCAUGUGUGGAACUUCCACCAAUCUGGCAGCUACCCAACUUGAAAUAUCUGAGAAUUGAUGGAGCACAUGCAGUUAGCAAGGUUGGACCUGAAUUUGUUGGCUGCAAGAAGGGUGAUCCUGUCUGUAAUGAGAUUGUUGCUUUCCCUAAACUUGAAUGGUUGAUCUUCACGGAUAUGCCCAACUGGGAGGCGUGGUCUUUUUUUGAGGAAGAAGUUGCUGCUGAUGAACGGGGAGAGGAUGCCCAAUCUGCAAGGUUUCUACGGCUGCCUAGUUUGGUACUGUUGAGACUCGAAGGCUGCCUGAAGCUGAGGGCUCUCCCGCCACAACUUGGAAAGGAGACCACCAGCUUGAAAGAGCUCAGAUUAAUUGGUACAAACAGCUUGAAGGCCGUGGAGGACCUCCCGUUUCUCUCUGAGCUCCUUAACAUUCAGAAAUGUGAAGGCCUGCAGAGGAUCUCCAACCUCCCUCAAGUGACAGGCCUGCAAUUACAUGGCUGUCCAAACCUAAGCCAUGUAGAGGGGUUGGUAAGUUUGCAGCAGCUGGGGCUGGGUGAGGAUAUGCAAGAGAUCUCUUCCUGCUGGAUGUCUGGGCUUCAAAACCAGCACCAACGGCUUCAUGGCGAAGACCUGGACAUCUACACUUUGUCUACCAGUUAGAUGCGAGUGGUGAAGACACAAGGUACGACCACUGCAUAUGUACACUACUUGGACAUGUCGUUUUGUUCCGUUGAUUUACUGAACCAUACUCAGUAUUCACCUGGACAUGUCGUUUUCUGCCUCAUCUGAUACAUACCGAUAAUGACAUUAUGUGUAUGCUGUUAUGCACCAGAAAUGCUUAAAUCUCUUGUACAUAUUCCAAAAGUGCUUUAGUAGAUGUCCAUGGACGCACAGAUAGCAGGCAUACGAAUUAUCAAUCCAAACUUAUUUUCUGUUGCUUAGAUUCUCAUAAUUGUAGUGUAAUUUAGCUACGUAGUUAGUGGUCAUUUUACAAAAGUAAGUAUAGAGGCACCCGCGUUCGAGACGCAAGUGCAGCUCUUACCCGCUACAUGGGCUGGCAGCCCAGCGGUGAGGAGGACUGGCCUGUGCAGCGCAGCUGCGACCAGGAAAAAGAGCCCAGGAGGAGUGGAAGGAGAUUCUCAAAAAAAAAAGGAGUGGAAGGCGACGGCGUGACGACAGCUGGACGUCGGCGAGGUCGCCCCGUUGGGAUCCGGCGAGAGGAGAUGGAGGCGACGGGACGGCAGCUGGGCGUCGGCGUUCUCGCGGUCGAGAGUAGGGAGAGGAGGCGGGGUGGCCGUCUGCCCGCACGCCGUUGCCGUUGCCGUCGCCGUCGCCGCCGCUGGAGAUAAUCAGAGGAACAGGACGGGCAACCUCUCUGUUUCACUCCUCCAGUCCCUUCUCCGUCUCCCAGCUAGCCCCUUUUCUUCGGUUCACCACCAUGACCAAACCUCCAUCUUCCUCAGUACGUAGCCGAAAUUCGUGCUCCACUGCACAACAAUCUCAAAUGAAUUCUCUGUUACCAUUUCAUCUACUCCCUCCUUCCAUCUUCCUCAGUACGUAGCCGAAAUUCGUGCUCCACUGCACAACAAUCUCAAAUGAAUUCUCUGUUACCAUUUCAUCUAGUAUAAGCUUCUCCGAACGCCAUCGCUACUCUUAAAUGCCAUAUCUGACCGGAGACCAUUUGGGAUCAAUCUGCUGCUCGAGGUAAGCUACAUAGAUUUUGGUUGAACACUAACUACGUAGCUAAAUUACAAGGCAUUGGGGAGGAGAGGAUUUCUCUGCGCAAGAAAGAUAACAUGAUCGAUGUCUUAAUCUGUUCAUUACGUACUACUCCCUCGGUUCACAAAUAUAAGAUCUUAUAUUUGUGAACGGAGGGAGUAGUAUCAAUCUAGAUGAGGAUAAGGUGGGUAUGUUAGGUACACAACAAUGCAUUUAGAUACUCCCAUUAGGACUACUCUAAGCGCUACGUGGCUUAAAUUACACAGCAAUGAAAAUAAGCACCUUGGCCGUCUCUUUCACAAGACUCUGCACACCAUCCCAGUUCACCGCCUUUGUUUGCAUAUGUUGUCUCUUUUAGCUUGUUUUUUCUACAGAAGCAGAGGAGGGGGACGGCUUUAGCACCUAGUGUUUGCUUCUUCUGGGUAUCCCACCGGUGCUUCAUUUGCUCUAUUGCUUGUCUCCAAUAGCUUGUCAUUGGCUUCGGUAAGGCAUAAGUAAAUCAAGCAGAGAAUUUGAAGACUAUUUUCAUUCUAUUCUCUCCAAUUAAUCAGCUUGUAAUUAGAUAUAUUCCCAUUAGCACUGGGCGGUGAUGACUGCUACCAGUAAAUUAAUGUUAGUGGGCUGUGACAAAUGCUACUAGUAAAUUACUACACAACAAUGACACUAAGCAACUUUCUAUAGUCUCUUUCAGAAGACUCGGCACGCCAUCGCAGCUCGCUACCUUUGUUGAAUUUUCUGCACGCCCAGCCAUAGCCUGCAUUUUUUUACCCAAGCAGAGGAGGGAAGCUGCUUUAGCACCUAGUGUUGUAUGGUAUCCAGCCAGUCUUCAUUUGCUCUUGCUUGUCUCCGCCUCUCGAGUACGCUACUAAUUGGCCUGAGGAAGUUUUGUCUUGGUCACGUUUGUUCAUUCCUUUCGUCUUGGUCCGCUGAUCAAUUAUUCAAGCAGGAUCCAACGAGUGAUCCGGUGGAGAGAGGAAACACACCGUAUCCAGGUCUAACAGCUCUGCAGUAGCAUGGUUAAUUACUCUCUGGGUGAUUAAUCAUCCAUCAUCUAUGUUCUGCGCUCAGCCUUGCUAGAUCUUAAUGACCAUCAAAGCAAACUGGCUCUUCAAGAUGAUAAAUAUUGAUCUUCGUUAUUGACAGGUUUUUCCUUGUUGGAAGACUGCUUCGUAAGCUUUCUGUUUUGUCAUUCUCCGAAACAAGUCGCCCUGGUGUUUUUGUUGGAUAUCUGGUGCUGAGUUUGUCUGCUUGAUGGCAACCAUACUAGAAUGUUUGCUUAGAUCAUGUGCCACUAAGUUGCAAAAUAUCAUUACUAAUGAGGUGAUACUGAUCCUAGGAGUGGAAAAAGAACUCACAAAAGUAUUGCGACGAGUAGAAUUAAUAGAGUGUUGUUUAUAUGAUGCUGAGAAAAGGACAAAAGAGCUAGCAGUUAACAGUUGGCUUGGUCAACUGAGAGAUGUUAUAUAUGAAGCUGAUGAAAUCUUGGACGUGGUUAGAUGUAAAGGAAGCAAGCUACUUCCUGAACAUCCUUCAUCAUCGUCAAACAAAUCAGCUGCACAUAAAGUCCUUUCAGUUUCCUCUAGCUUCCGUAACAUCGUGCCACGUCAUGAUGUUGCUGUUCGGAUUAGAGCACUCAACAAGAAGAUAGAGCACAUUACAAAGGACAAGAUAUUCUUAACAUUCAAUAGUAAUACACAACCUACUGGAAAUGCUCCAACAUCUAAACUGAUAAGAAGUUCUGACCUUGUUGAGCCUAACCUUGUGGGAAAGGAGAUCUUAUAUUCUAGCAGGAAGUUGGUGGACUUAGUGCUUGCACACAAGGAAAGUAAGUCUUACAAGCUCGCUAUUGUUGGAACCGGAGGAGUUGGUAAGACGACACUAGCUCAAAAGAUAUACAAUGACCCAAAAAUAAAAGGAAGCUUCAAGAAGCAUGCAUGGAUUUGUGUUUCGAAAGACUACGAUGAAAUUGGUCUUUUGAAAGAGGUUCUUCGUAAUACUGGUGUGCAUCGUAAGCAAGGUGAAACCAAAGCAGAGUUGCAGAGAAAGCUUGCAGAAACAAUGAAAGGCAAGAGUUUCUUUCUCGUUCUCGAUGAUGUGUGGCGGUCCAAUGUGUGGGUGGAUUUACUAAGAAUUUCAUUACAUGAAACAGUUGCUGGAGUAAUAUUGGUAACCACACGAGAUGAUCAAAUUGCCAAGAGAAUAGGUGUAGAGCAUACCCAUCGAGUUGAUCUCAUGUCAGCAGAGGUGGGGUGGGAGCUACUUUGGAAGAGCAUGCACAUUGAUGACGAGAAAAAAGUGCAGAAUUUAAGAAACAUUGGGAUUGAAAUUGUUCGUAAAUGUGGUUGCCUUCCGCUUGCAAUCAAGGUUACAGCCAGUGCUUUGGCAUGCAAAGAUAGUACAGAGAAUGAGUGGAAAAGGUUUUUGGGCAGAUAUGUUGGCUCCCAGGACAUGCUCUCUGAUGAAAUAGAAGGAGCUCUGUAUCUUAGCUACGAUGACUUACCACAUCAUCUGAAGCAGUGUUUCCUCUAUUGUGGUUUGUAUCUGAAGGCUUCGUUGAGCAGCAACAAGGCCAAGUAUUAGAAGACACAGCAGAAGAUUACUACUAUGAGCUAAUCCAUCGUAACCUCCUCCAACCAGAUAAGAAUAAUUUUGACUUGGCUGGAUGCAAAAUGCAUGAUCUCUUAAGACAACUUGCUUGUAAUAUAUCAAGAGAAGAAUGUUUUGUUGGAGAUAUUGAAUCAUUAAGGGGUGAAGAUAUGUCAAAACUGCGAUGUGUCACUGUUGUACCUAAGAAGGAUAUGCUAGUGUUGCCUAGCAUGGAUAAGGUAAAAGUUAAGUUGAGGACUUUCAUAACUAUUCGUGGUCCACAUAGAAUUGAGGAUACAUUGUUCAAGAGAUUUCUGCUUCUUCGUGUUUUGGUACUGAAUUACUCUCUUGUGCAAAGCUUUCCGGAUUAUAUAGGAGAACUGAUACAUCUACGCCUACUUGAUUUAGAUUAUACUGGCAUAUCUUGUCUUCCAGAAUCCAUUGGCUCCCUAAAAAACCUCCAAGUUCUUAGCUUGAGACACUGUAAAGCUCUGCACAGUCUUCCGUUGGCGAUGACCCAAUUGUGCAAUUUAAGAUGCUUUUUUCUUAUUGGUGCAGACAUAAAUCAUGUUCCAAAAGGGAUAGGAAAAUUGAAGUUUCUCAAUGCUUUACAAGGAUUUCCUGUUGGUAAUGGAAGUGAUAAUGCUGAUGUACAAGAUGGAUGGGAGUUGGAAGAAUUGUCUUUUGUGUCCCAGAUGAGGAGUCUUAAUCUGAAUAGAUUGAAAAAUGCGGCACAUUGUACUUCAAAUACAGUGCUCGCAGACAAAAAACUUCUAAAAGUUUUGACACUAGAGUGGACUGAACAAAGAGAGGAAGAAUAUCAAGAAGAAGACAUUUGCAAUGCUGAGAGUGUCUUUGAGCAGCUAAUACCUCCACGCAAUUUGGAACAAUUAUUUAUUAGAUUAUACUUUGGUCGGCGGUACCCCACCUGGUUUGGUACCACCUAUUUGUGUUCACUCGUACACUUGGCCAUCAGAUAUUCACAAUCGUGUGUGGAUCUUCCACCGCUUGGGCAGCUACCAAACUUGAAAUAUCUGUUAAUUGUUGGAUCAUAUGCACUUACCAAGGUCGGACCUGAAUUUGUUGGUUACAGGAAUCGUGAUCCCAUAUGCAGUGAGUUAGUUGCUUUUCCUAAACUUGAAUGGUUGAUCAUCAGGGAUAUGCGCAACUGGGAGGAGUGGUCUUUUUUUGAAGAAGUAGAAGAAUUUGCUGUCGAUGAAGGGAGAGAGGAUGGAGCUGUUGAGACUCGUCCAGAGGAUGCCCAAUCUGCAAGGUUGUCACUGCUGCCUCGUUUGGUGCUGUUGAGACUCGAAAAUUGCCCGAAGCUGAGGACUCUCCCGCGGCAGCUUGGAGAGGACACCACCAACUUGAAGAUGCUCAAAUUAAUUGGAGCAAACAACUUGAAGGCUGUCGAAGAUUUCCCACACCUCGCCGACCUCCUCCUUAUUGAGAAAUGUGAAGGCAUGGAGAGGAUCUCCAACCUCCCUCAAGUGACGAAACUGCAUGUCCAUGGUUGUCCAAACUUAAGCCAUGUAGAGGGGCUGGGAAGUUUGCAACAGCUAUGGCUGGGUGAGGAUAUGCAAGAGGUCUCUUCCCGCUGGGUGCCUGGGCUUCAAGAGCACCACCAGCGACUUCAUGGGGAAGCCCUGGAUGUCUACACGUUGUCUACCAGUUAGAAGGCAAUGAAAGCAUAAGCCUGGACUGAUGCCACAGCUCGCCUUGACGGGCAACAUACUAAGCCUGUCGACGGUGAAGACGUGCAAGCACCCUGAUCUACUGCAAACUGGUGAAGGAAGCGUCAUGUUUCUUUCUCUUAGGGCAAGUGCCCUGCAACGUAUCGAAUUUGGUCUUGUAUUUUUUUUCCUGAACUUGAGAUGGAGACCUUUGCUGUACUGGAGAUGUGUAUCCCACGGAUUUCCUUUUAUUUCUUUCUGAACUUGGGGCCGGAGGCCUCUGCUGUACUGAACCUGUAUUGAAUGUAACAGAUGAUUUCCAUUUUGGCAUGAUUGAAUGCUUUGAGUAGAAGUGAUGAAUUUCGUUUUGUUUUCCUCUGAACUUGGGCCGGAUCGUAAAUCAUAAGCAACAAUAGUGCAUACAUAUCCUGGUUAUUGCAGGAAGUGGUGGACGAAACUGACAGAGCUGCAGACUGAACACGGCACGGCGUGUGCGGUGGCUGUUUGCUGAGCUCUGGGAGAACAACCAGGGCAGGAGGUACCCUGCGGCAGCUUAGAGCUCUGGAAGUUCGGCGUAGGGCGGAACCACGGAAGGUGACUAGGUCUGAGGCGCUCAGCUGCAUUUUGAAAGCGUCAAGUAUGAAGCUUGGAAG
RNAcentral lists this ribosomal RNA (9224 nucleotides) under Triticum aestivum (bread wheat). RNAcentral describes it as "partial small subunit ribosomal RNA". Lineage: Eukaryota; Viridiplantae; Streptophyta; Magnoliopsida; Poales; Poaceae. The record is from RNAcentral.